Molecule: ribosomal RNA, 253 nt
Filed under: uncultured bacterium
Lineage: Bacteria
Description: partial 16S ribosomal RNA
Rfam family: Bacterial small subunit ribosomal RNA
Source: RNAcentral
UACGGAGGGGGCGAGCGUUAUUCGGAAUUAUUGGGCGUAAAGGGCGCGUAGGCGGCUCGAUAAGUCAAAGGUGAAAUCCCUCGGCUCAACUGAGGAACUGCCUUUGAAACUGUCGAGCUCGAGUCCGGGAGGGGGUAGCGGAAUUCCCAGUGUAGCGGUGAAAUGCGUAGAUAUUGGGAGGAAUACCAGUGGCGAAGGCGGCCUUCUGGACUGACACUGACGCUGAGGCGCGAAAGCCAGGGGAGCAAACGGG